RNAcentral lists this long non-coding RNA (242 nucleotides) under Olea europaea (common olive). RNAcentral describes it as "long non-coding RNA (OEUR_LNC003659)". The record is from RNAcentral. Lineage: Eukaryota; Viridiplantae; Streptophyta; Magnoliopsida; Lamiales; Oleaceae.
GUUGCUUUCCUCUUUAAGAUGGAGUGGGUAUGUGUAACAUUUAAGCUUGAUCUUUGGCAGGAUUCUAGUUUGGAACUUGUUUUUUAACUGAAAUUUGAUAUGGUUGAAUCACAUUAGUACUCGAAAUCAGAUUGGGUCUUGGGCAUCGACUCAAAGUUGAAGAUGUACUGUGAUGCAUUGGGAUUUCAGCUGAAGGUAACACCUGAAAUCAGGAGUAAGCUGGUUAAAAGGCAUGAAAAAAU